This is a long non-coding RNA of Ornithorhynchus anatinus (platypus), 629 nucleotides long. RefSeq lists it as uncharacterized. The transcript is spliced from 2 exons. Lineage: Eukaryota; Metazoa; Chordata; Mammalia; Monotremata; Ornithorhynchidae. The record is from RefSeq and is a predicted model, not a curated record.
CUUGAAAAGGCUGAGGGUUAUGAGUGUGUCAGUUUGUCUAGAACAGAAGGUUUGCCAGCUUAACUCAAGUAAUGGCUUUUCUGGAUGACAGGGAGGGGACAAGCCAAAGCAGUGCCACCUGGACCUAUUUAGGGAAUCGCUUUGGAUGACCUUUGAAUGAUCACUUCAGUUACGAAGUUACCAGAGGAAGAGGAAAAGAGCCCAUUUAAAAUCACAACGGAGGGAUGCUGAAGAGACGCCCGUUGAAGUUGGCCAUCUUGAAAGGCUCUGUCCACUCCUCCAAAAAUAACGUGUUCUGGGAAGGCAGUGAAGUUUUUGUUACGGGACGAACUUUUUUCUCAGAAACGUCAAUGAAGUCAGGAAUGAGAACUGAACCGUGCUGUCACCUAUCGUGUUCCGGGGGGGGGAAAAUCCUGAUAUUCACCCUGUCCUUGUUCCAGUGCCAGAUACCAAGAUUAGAUCCGGCUUCCCCAGCUGUUCCCAUUUCCAGACUCAGAGGGUGAAGCAAUUGGAAUGGCCACUGAAGUAUGCUGAGGUUCUGGUCUAUCAACGGAGGGAAUGAAUGUCCCAUUAUAAUCUCCUCCCUUAAGGGGUUUUUAAAUAAAAAAGGACAACUGAUCUCACUCUCA